RNAcentral lists this ribosomal RNA (447 nucleotides) under uncultured bacterium. RNAcentral describes it as "bacterial SSU rRNA". It matches the Rfam family "Bacterial small subunit ribosomal RNA", at positions 29 to 519 of the family's 1533-position model. The record is from RNAcentral.
AACGAACGCUGGCGGCAGGCCUAACACAUGCAAGUCGAACGCCCGUAGCAAUACGGGAGUGGCAGACGGGUGAGUAACGCGUGGGAACGUGCCCUUCGGUUCGGAAUAACUCAGGGAAACUUGAGCUAAUACCGGAUACGUCCGUAAGGAGAAAGAUUUAUCGCCGAAGGAUCGGCCCGCGUCGGAUUAGCUAGUUGGUGAGGUAACGGCCCACCAAGGCGACGAUCCGUAGCUGGUCUGAGAGGANGAUCAGCCACACUGGGACUGAGACACGGCCCAGACUCCUACGGGAGGCAGCAGUGGGGAAUAUUGGACAAUGGGCGAAAGCCUGAUCCAGCCAUGCCGCGUGAGUGAAGAAGGCCUUAGGGUUGUAAAGCGUCUUUCAGCGGGAAGAUAAUGACGGUACCCGCAGAAGAAGCCCCGGCUAACUUCGUGCCAGCAGCCGCA